AGUGAACGCUGGCGGUAGGCCUAACACAUGCAAGUCGAACGGCGGCACAGUAAGAGCUUGCUCUUACGGGUGGCGAGUGGCGGACGGGUGAGGAAUACAUCGGAAUCUACUUUUUCGUGGGGGAUAACGUAGGGAAACUUACGCUAAUACCGCAUACGACCUACGGGUGAAAGCAGGAGAUCUUCGGCCCUUGCGCGAUUGAAUGAGCCGAUGUCGGAUUAGCUAGUUGGCGGGGUAAAGGCCCACCAAGGCGACGAUCCGUAGCUGGUCUGAGAGGAUGAUCAGCCACACUGGAACUGAGACACGGUCCAGACUCCUACGGGAGGCAGCAGUGGGGAAUAUUGGACAAUGGGCGCAAGCCUGAUCCAGCCAUACCGCGUGGGUGAAGAAGGCCUUCGGGUUGUAAAGCCCUUUUGUUGGGAAAGAAAAGCAGCAGGUUAAUACCCCGCUGUUCUGACGGUACCCAAAGAAUAAGCACCGGCUAACUUCGUG
Molecule: ribosomal RNA, 492 nt
Filed under: uncultured bacterium
Lineage: Bacteria
Description: partial 16S ribosomal RNA
Rfam family: Bacterial small subunit ribosomal RNA
Source: RNAcentral